UGUUAGGGAGACAGAUGAACUUGUAGAUGUUAGUUUAUUUUGUGUUCUAAAACAAAGUCAGUUUUUAGUGCUUAAUGAAUGUUUGAGUGUCUCAAUUGAUGGUUUUGAUUUAUAACCCUUUCAUGUUUUAUGCCAAGUAUACUUCAUAGUUCGGUAUUAAACCAUUCCAUUCUAGACCUGAUUCAUUAUUGUCUAUGAUAAUUCUUUGACUAUCUAUGCCAUGUAUAGUUAGUGCUUCGGAUAUCUACAUUUAGGUCGAGACCAGCUGGUGUUGCAAUGGAAUUGGAAUGGGUAUUUGCAGUUACCUGUGAUGGAAAGCUGGUGUUGCAGGUGAUGUUGCAAUGGAAUUGGAAUGGGUAUUUGCAGUGAGGUUGUAUCUGCUUAAGCCGUUUGAUGUUGCUGACAAAUUUGCUGAAUUAAGUGCUACUGAAAUUGAAGGAGGAGAGGAGAGUAUCUAGAGAGUUGUCUUGCCAGAUACAUGAUGAAGCGAAAAAGUUCUCUUAUCAGACUGGUGUUAAAGUCGCUGUUGCAUAUGGUGGAGCACCAAUGCACAAGCAGGGAUGCCAUUCAUGCUAGAGAUUUAGAACACCAGCAGGCAUGGUCUCGAGUUCAAAGUCCAUAAUCUUAACUGGAUGAACAUGGCUUGGAGAUCUGGUUUACAAUCUCCUAUGCGUUCAAGAGAUGCAGCUCCAAUACAGACACCGCCUGUCGUUGAGCCUUGGUGCCGAGAUAUUCUUAGUUUGUCUACGGAAUGUCAACUGAUAGUGCAUGACUUUUCACAAAAUCUCAAGGAUGUGGUGCAGCAGCAACAAGUAACAACUUCUGUAACGGAACGAUUAUUGGUGCACAACAUUUUGCAGCAGCUGUUGUUGCUUAAAUGGUUUUUUCCGUAAACUAAGCAUCUCCUCUUGAUGGUGAUGGGCACGAAAGGUUUGUGUUUGCCUGGGAUUCUCAUCACUGAUACCAGCAAGUCAAUGGUGAGCAGUUACACGAUUCCAAAUUCGAAUCAGCACAGUUGCAUACUAGGGUGAAUGUUCUCAUAUACAUCUUAAUCUUUUUAGAGUGUGUUUUGGAAACUCCACUUUUGUAACAAACAUCUAUAUCACUGCCAUUUUUUGAAUGUGUGUUUAAG
Papaver somniferum (opium poppy) is the source of this 1132-nucleotide long non-coding RNA. RefSeq lists it as uncharacterized. The record is from RefSeq and is a predicted model, not a curated record. NCBI's taxonomy places the organism in Eukaryota, Viridiplantae, Streptophyta, Magnoliopsida, Ranunculales, Papaveraceae. The transcript has 3 exons.